UAAAAUUAAAGCNNNNNNNNCUUGGCUAACAGAGAGAGUGUGUCUGAGCCCCGAACAUUAUCAGGAAGGCUAUUCCAGAGUUUGGGAGCCAAAUGCGAAAAAGCUCUACCUCCUUUAGUGGACUUUGCUAUCCUAGGUACUAUCAAAAGUCCAGCGUUUUGUGACCUUAGGGAGCGUGAUGGGUUGUAGCGUGGUAGAAGACUAGUUAGGUACGCAGGAGCUAAGCCAUUAAGGGCCUUAUAAGUAAGUAAUAAUAUUUUGUAACUGAUACGGAACUUAAUAGGUAGCCAGUGCAGAGACUGUAGUAUUGGGGUAAUAUGAUCAUAUUUUCUUGAUAUGUUUGUUCUCUUUCUAGCUGUCGAAGAUCCUGAACCACCAAGCCCAAAGGAGAUCUUACAAAGUAAGAGAAACACAUAUAUUAUUCACAGAUAUCUGAAAUCUAUAUGUAUAUUGAGUAUAUUUACACUAUUUUGUAUAUAAUUGCAGAGUCUGGCUGUUUGAACAAGGUGGAACCAUCUGUAUCUCCAAAAGGAGAUGAGGUACAGCAUUGCCCUCGUCAGAUUCACUUGGGUGAAGGCGUUCGAGUGCGUAGAGAGGCCUGGUCAAGGAUACAAAACAACAUGCGGGAUUCCUUAUUUGUGAAGGAGUUGGCAGUGGCAAUCUGGGGAACUAAGGCUCUGUGGGAAAGAAGUCUCACAGGGAAGGAAUGCGCAACGACCAAAACAACCAAGCAGCGUUUAACCCCCCAGAAACUUCAGACAUUAAAAGUCUGCUUUAAGGAGUGGCUUGUCAAAAAGAAUGUGGAGGAGACAGAGUUGCAGGCCAAAUGGGGAAAGGCUGGACAGUACAUCACUGAAAAAAUUCAUUAACAUUAACAAACAAACAAAAAGUGCUCAAAAGAAAAUUUGAGCACUUAAGAUAAAUUGAUAAUUGAAAAGAUAAUUGUUGUGUAUGUGUUUUAUUGUAAUUUGCUUGUUGAGCCAGAUGAGAGUUUUUUUUUUUUUUGUUUUUUUGUUAAAUAUGUAUUAUUAUUGUGUUAAUGUUUACUUAUUUUAUUAAAUUAUUGUUAUUAUUAAAUUAACUUUUUUUAAUUAUUAAAUGAAAGCUUGUAUUUUCAUGAUUUUCAUCAUACCAAAAUUCAGUGUAGUUAGCAUUCCACCCUAGUGAACAGGCUACCAUCCUCAACAUCUAUGUUGACAGCACAGUUUCCAAUGUUAGUAACCAGCAUCCCAUGCUUGUCA
Molecule: long non-coding RNA, 1241 nt
Organism: Cyprinus carpio (common carp)
Lineage: Eukaryota; Metazoa; Chordata; Actinopteri; Cypriniformes; Cyprinidae
Source: Ensembl